UACGUAGGCAGCAAGCGUUGUUCGGAGUUACUGGGCGUAAAGGGUGCGUAGGCGGUCUGUCGCGUCUGCUGUGAAAAUCCGGGGCUCAACCCCGGACUUGCAGUGGGUACGGGCAGACUAGAGUGUGGUAGGGGAGACUGGAAUUCCUGGUGUAGCGGUGAAAUGCGCAGAUAUCAGGAGGAACACCGGUGGCGAAGGCGGGUCUCUGGGCCGAUACUGACGCUGAGGAGCGAAAGCGUGGGGAGCGAACAGG
Molecule: ribosomal RNA, 253 nt
Filed under: uncultured bacterium
Lineage: Bacteria
Description: partial 16S ribosomal RNA
Rfam family: Bacterial small subunit ribosomal RNA
Source: RNAcentral